AACAGGAUUAGAUACCCUGGUAGUCCACGCCGUAAACGAUGUCGACUUGGAGGUUGUGCCCUUGAGGCGUGGCUUCCGGAGCUAACGCGUUAAGUCGACCGCCUGGGGAGUACGGCCGCAAGGUUAAAACUCAAAUGAAUUGACGGGGGCCCGCACAAGCGGUGGAGCAUGUGGUUUAAUUCGAUGCAACGCGAAGAACCUUACCUGGUCUUGACAUCCUCGGAAGUUUUCAGAGAUGAGAAUGUGCCUUCGGGAACCGUGAGACAGGUGCUGCAUGGCUGUCGUCAGCUCGUGUUGUGAAAUGUUGGGUUAAGUCCCGCAACGAGCGCAACCCUUAUCCUUUGUUGCCAGCGGUCCGGCCGGGAACUCAAAGGAGACUGCCAGUGAUAAACUGGAGGAAGGUGGGGAUGACGUCAAGUCAUCAUGGCCCUUACGACCAGGGCUACACACGUGCUACAAUGGCGCAUACAAAGAGAAGCGACCUCGCGAGAGCAAGCGGACCUCAUAAAGUGCGUCGUAGUCCGGAUUGGAGUCUGCAACUCGACUCCAUGAAGUCGGAAUCGCUAGUAAUCGUGGAUCAGAAUGCCACGGUGAAUACGUUCCCGGGCCUUGUACACACCGCCCGUCACACCAUGGGAGUGGGUUGCAAAAGAAGUAGGUAGCUUAACCUUCGGGAGGGCGCUUACCACUUUGUGAUUCAUGACUGGGGUGAAGUCGUAACAAGGUAACC
This 730-nucleotide ribosomal RNA is filed under the name uncultured bacterium. RNAcentral describes it as "bacterial SSU rRNA". It matches the Rfam family "Bacterial small subunit ribosomal RNA", at positions 771 to 1501 of the family's 1533-position model. The record is from RNAcentral.